RNAcentral lists this long non-coding RNA (709 nucleotides) under Lathyrus oleraceus (garden pea). RNAcentral's name for it is "Pisum sativum (pea) long non-coding RNA (PSAT_LNC000448)". Lineage: Eukaryota; Viridiplantae; Streptophyta; Magnoliopsida; Fabales; Fabaceae. The record is from RNAcentral.
AACAACCAAAAGGCACAUGGAACGGAUAAGGCCAAAUGUUGAGCAACAUGUGAGUCAACACACAUUGAGCCAAGUGAAUCAUUCAAUCAUAUGUUAAAUGCUCAUUGGAUAAGUGCAACGGAUACAAUGCACGUGGAAAAAUUCAAAAUGGCUUAGCACAAAUUGAAUUCAAACGUCUCUCCCUCUCUCUCACUUACCACUUCCAUCUCCUCCGCACCCGGGGUUCCCUCGACGGCGGAGAUUUCCAUAAAUAGAAAAUUUAGUUGUGUUAGAUUGAUUGGCUGUAUCGAUUCUUCUAGUUAGUUUAAUCUGUUAGUGUAAAAAAAUACUAUUGGGAAAUUCACUAGGUUAACUGAAUCUAUUAUGCAUUCAGCUUUGCAACUUCAUGAAUUUUUGUUAGUGCAGGUGGAUACAUUCUGACUUAAACUGUUGGUGGACUUGUGGGUUGGAAAUGGUUUGCUCAUGCUCUUUUCCUUUUGAAACUCAAUGCAUGAAGAUGGUAACUGAUGUUGCAGAAGCAAUGCAGAUGGCUUGAUCAAUGGCAUCAUGGUCCAUGUGAUUAGGAUAGGUUAAGUAGUUGAUGGUAUCUUAGAUUAGACAUUAGUCUAUGUUCAUUUAGAUGUACAUUUGUAAUGUGCAGUGCAUUAUCGUGGAUUUAUGUACAUGGAUCUUUUGUAAAUGCAAGUUAGAUUUUGAAUGCAAAGUUGAC